RNAcentral lists this ribosomal RNA (397 nucleotides) under uncultured eukaryote. RNAcentral's name for it is "SSU rRNA". It matches the Rfam family "Eukaryotic small subunit ribosomal RNA", at positions 587 to 984 of the family's 1831-position model. The record is from RNAcentral.
AGCUCCAAUAGCAUAUAUUAAAGUUGUUGCAGUUAAAAGCUCGUAGUUGGAUUUCUGGCAUGAUGCGCCUGGCCCGCCUUGAUUACAAGUGUGUGUGCGAGUGCGCGUCUGCCAUCCAUUUGCAGAAUAUAUCUACCCUUCAUUGGGCCGGAUAUGUGAUGUAAAUCUUUUACUUUGAAAAAUUAGAGUGUUUAAAGCAGGCAUUUGCUAUGAAUACAUUAGCAUGGAAUAAUAAUCUAGGACUUCGGUUCUAUUUUGUUGGUUUCUAGAUCUGAAGUAAUGAUUGAUAGGGAUAGUUGGGGUGCUAGUAUUAAGGGGCCAGAGGUGAAAUUCUUGGAUUCUCUUAAGCUAACUUAUGCGAAAGCAUUCACCAAGGAUGUCUUCUUUAAUCAAGAAC